Molecule: ribosomal RNA, 439 nt
Filed under: uncultured bacterium
Lineage: Bacteria
Description: partial 16S ribosomal RNA
Rfam family: Bacterial small subunit ribosomal RNA
Source: RNAcentral
CUACGGGGUGCUGCAGUGGGGAAUAUUGCACAAUGGGGGAAACCCUGAUGCAGCAACGCCGCGUGGAGGAUGACGCAUUUCGGUGUGUAAACUCCUUUUAUAUAGGAAGAUAAUGACGGUACUAUAUGAAUAAGCACCGGCUAACUCCGUGCCAGCAGCCGCGGUAAUACGGAGGGUGCAAGCGUUACUCGGAAUCACUGGGCGUAAAGCGCGCGCAGGCGGCUCUUUAAGUUGGAUGUGAAAGCCUACGGCUCAACCGUAGAACUGCAUCCAAAACUGAAGAGCUAGAGUCUGGGAGGGGAAGAUGGAAUUAGUUGUGUAGGGGUAAAAUCCGUAGAGAUAACUAGGAAUACCAAAAGCGAAGGCGAUCUUCUGGAACAGUACUGACGCUGAGGCGCGAAAGCGUGGGGAGCAAACAGGAUUAGAUACCCCUGUAGUC